RNAcentral lists this ribosomal RNA (440 nucleotides) under uncultured bacterium. Its description in RNAcentral is "partial 16S ribosomal RNA". It matches the Rfam family "Bacterial small subunit ribosomal RNA", at positions 338 to 795 of the family's 1533-position model. The record is from RNAcentral.
CCUACGGGUGGCAGCAGUGGGGGAUAUUGCACAAUGGGGGAAACCCUGAUGCAGCGACGCCGCGUGUGGGAAGACGGUCUUCUGGAUUGUAAACCACUGUCCCCAGGGACGAAAAUGACGGUACCUGGGGAGGAAGCUCCGGCUAACUACGUGCCAGCAGCCGCGGUAAUACGUAGGGAGCAAGCGUUGUCCGGAAUUACUGGGUGUAAAGGGAGCGUAGGCGGGGAUGCAAGUUGGGUGUCAAAACUACCGGCUCAACCGAACGUAGCACUUAAAACGGCAGCUCGUGAGUGAAGUAGAGGGAGGGGGAAGGCGUGGGGUAGCGGGGAAAGGCAUAGAUAUAGAGGAGAACCCAGAGGGCGAGGGCAGCCUACUGGUUUUUUAUGGACGCGCAGGCACGAAAGUGUGGGGAUAAAACAGGAUUAGAACCCCUGGGAGUC